Molecule: ribosomal RNA, 301 nt
Filed under: uncultured bacterium
Lineage: Bacteria
Description: partial 16S ribosomal RNA
Rfam family: Bacterial small subunit ribosomal RNA
Source: RNAcentral
CAGCAGCCGCGGUAAUACGAAGGGUGCAAGCGUUACUCGGAAUUACUGGGCGUAAAGCGUGCGUAGGUGGUGGUUUAAGUCGGAUGUGAAAUCCCUGAGCUUAACUUAGGAAUUGCAUUCGAUACUGGGAAGCUAGAGUAUGGGAGAGGAUGGUAGAAUUCCAGGUGUAGCGGUGAAAUGCGUAGAGAUCUGGAGGAAUACCGAUGGCGAAGGCAGCCAUCUGGCCUAAUACUGACGCUGAGGUACGAAAGCAUGGGGAGCAAACAGGAUUAGAUACCCCCGUAGUCCCUGUCUCUUAUAA